CAGGGCAUGGACAGGGGCUCCCGAAGCCACCAUGUGAGCUGAACGGACGCCUCGUCUGCAUUAAGAAGCUGUGGGCAUGUGGGCGCCACCACUGUCAGCCCGUCCCCUGACCUUCAUCCUCAUGAAGCCACAGAUCUGACUUCUCCACACCCAGACUGAGGGAGAAAGGGGGAGCCCGGGAAACACUGAGGACGAGCUGGUGAGCUGGGGAGGAGUCUUCAAACACGCUGCAGGGCCAGGAGGGGAGCUGCCCGGCUGAGGAUCAGGCUCUGGCACGGGUCAGAGAGGCAGGACCCUGGGGGCAUGGGCUCCUGGCGGAGCAGCCUAGCCGCACAGGCAGUGCCCAGCCGGUCAGAAGGCCGAGCAAGCAGGUGGUGGCCCCAGCUCUGCAGGCAGGUAAGAGUGGGCUGGAUGCUCCACCUUUUCUUUUCUCUCUUCUGCUCUGAGUGGUUACCAUGGAGACCACCUGGUGAAGAUGUGAUUGACAGAAGAUGGGAGGAGCCUGGAUCCCCAGGUGACUUCACGGUGCAGAGCCUCAUGCUACUGCCCAAAUCAUAUGAGACAGAUGGAGGAACUAGAAACUUUCAGGACGCUAAGGUGCUGGAAUUGUAGCGUUCAUUCUAACAGACACUUAACCAGUACAGCGCCCUCAUCCCGCAUGAUGAGAUGAUUAACUCAAGUAACUUCCGCCUAGAACUGUGGACGCAGAGCCCGUCACGGUGUAUUUAUCAAGCGCAGCCCAAUGCACAGCCCGGCUGACGGGUCAUCCCUCAGGUGUCAGAUGGUCUGCUUCGGUGUUGUUCACGGAGAACCUGGGCAAACAACCCAGGUUCCUAUGUCAAGAUAAAUCUCUGAUUUGUUUUCAGGACUCGCCAGAAGGGCCAGUUGGAAGGUUCUAGGGGACUCUUUGAGAAAUCUCUCCCUGGGUUGAAGUUCGGACUGUAUGAAAGCAGUGGGCCGCACGACCCCAGAGGGCACAGCGCGUGAGUCCUCCUUUGGGGAGGGGGUCCUAUGAAGGUGGUUCCCCAGGACCGGCAGGCUCAGAGGUGGACAGUGGUCCCGAGAGGAGCUCGUCCACAGCGACAGCAGGCCCCUGGCCCUAGCAGUGAGAGCAGCACCGAGCCGCUCCUGCUGCCCCCCCUCCCCCGGGCCUGGCCAGGAGCCGCUGGGACGGUGGGCACGGUGUUUGGAAGCCAGUGUUUGUUCAAGGAGACCAGCUUCCACGGCUCUGGACCACACUGAGCAGGACUUCACUCCCCGCGGCUCCCUCACGGAGCUCCCCGGCUCCAACUGCAGCAUCGGACAGAUGGACAAACACCCUGCAGGUCGCGUUGUCCCUCAGAUGCUGCCCAUGGAGACGGGGGCUCUAAGGCCACUGUCCGCCUGGGAGACCCCUGUACCAGGGAGAGCUGUGCGUGAGCUGCCACGUGACUCUAGGAAGUCUUCACGCGCCAAGAUGACUCAGAACUGCCUGUGUUUCAGGAUGCGGGGAGCAUGGGAGGAAUCAGGAACACUUCCAGGAGAUCCCAGAUUCAGGGAGGGGCUGUGAGCUAACGCGUGCACGCAGACUUCAGACACCUGCAAACAGAAUCGCUGCAGGAGGGGAGGGAGGAGACGAAGGAGAGCCGGGCUGCUCUGCACUCUGAACGCAUGGCCGCCCUCUCAUGCCUCUGUCCAUGUCUCAGGCUCUCCCUGGGCCUCUCGGCUCAUCUCUUUCAGGAUGGAUUCCCGGAUUUGCGGA
Molecule: long non-coding RNA, 1741 nt
Organism: Myotis davidii
Lineage: Eukaryota; Metazoa; Chordata; Mammalia; Chiroptera; Vespertilionidae
Exons: 3
Source: RefSeq, a predicted model, not a curated record